CCUACGCGGUGCAGCAGUGGGGAAUAUUGGACAAUGGGCGAAAGCCUGAUCCAGCCAUGCCGCGUGUGUGAAGAAGGCCUUCGGGUUGUAAAGCACUUUCAGUGGGGAAGAAAGCCUUGGGGCUAAUACCCUCGAGGAAGGACAUCACCCACAGAAGAAGCACCGGCUAACUCCGUGCCAGCAGCCGCGGUAAUACGGAGGGUGCGAGCGUUAAUCGGAAUUACUGGGCGUAAAGCGCGCGUAGGCGGUCUGAUAAGCCGGUUGUGAAAGCCCCGGGCUCAACCUGGGAACGGCAUCCGGAACUGUCAGGCUAGAGUGCAGGAGAGGAAGGUAGAAUUCCCGGUGUAGCGGUGAAAUGCGUAGAGAUCGGGAGGAAUACCAGUGGCGAAGGCGGCCUUCUGGACUGACACUGACGCUGAGGUGCGAAAGCGUGGGUAGCAAACAGGAUUAGAUACCCUUGUAGUC
This 465-nucleotide ribosomal RNA is filed under the name Vreelandella stevensii. Its description in RNAcentral is "partial 16S ribosomal RNA". It matches the Rfam family "Bacterial small subunit ribosomal RNA", at positions 338 to 795 of the family's 1533-position model. The record is from RNAcentral. Lineage: Bacteria; Pseudomonadati; Pseudomonadota; Gammaproteobacteria; Oceanospirillales; Halomonadaceae.